Long non-coding RNA from Salvia splendens (bonfire salvia), 273 nucleotides. RefSeq lists it as uncharacterized. The transcript has 3 exons. The record is from RefSeq and is a predicted model, not a curated record. Lineage: Eukaryota; Viridiplantae; Streptophyta; Magnoliopsida; Lamiales; Lamiaceae.
UGAGUAGAAAAGCUCCGAACGCAGCAACAAAUCGAAUGGUGAAAGGCACCUCGAUCAAGUCUCGCUUAAUCCCUGCCGCUUCCAGAACCUUCUCGAUUCCGAAGCAGCUCCAUGCCUCUCGAUUUCGAUCCCGAAAAAGAUUUCAUCCUUAGCCAGGAUUUCUUCUGUACCCCUGAUUAUAUUACUCCUGCGUGGAUCGGAGCAAGGAAACUAUUGAAUGCCCCAAAUCGCCGGAGAAAAGUUAAGACUGUUCGGAGCAACCGCCUGAAACUC